Molecule: ribosomal RNA, 421 nt
Filed under: uncultured microorganism
Description: bacterial SSU rRNA
Rfam family: Archaeal small subunit ribosomal RNA
Source: RNAcentral
GCGCAGCAGUCGAGAAUACUUCACAAUGUGCGAAAGCACGAUGAGGGAAUCCCAAGUGCUUGCACGUAAGUGUAAGCUGUUUCUCUGUCUAAAACGCAGAGAGAGUAAGGGCUGGGUAAGACGGGUGCCAGCCGCCGCGGUAAUACCUGCAGCUCGAGUGGUGAUCGUUAUUAUUGGGCCUAAAACGUCCGUAGCCGGUUUAAUAAAUGCCUGGGUAAAUCGGACCGCUUAACGGUUCGAAUUCCGGGUAGACUGUUAAAACUUGAGACCGGGAGAAGUUAGAGGUACUCCUGGGGUAGAGGUGAAAAUUCUGUAAUCCUAGGGGGACCACCAGUGGCGAAGGCGUCUAACUAGAACGGGUCUGACGGUGAGGGACGAAGCCCUGGGGCGCAAACGGGGAUUAGAUACCCGCGUAGUCCCU